GAUGAAGAACGCAGCGAAAUGCGAUAAGUAAUGUGAAUUGCAGAAUUCAGUGAAUCAUCGAAUCUUUGAACGCACAUUGCGCCCCCUGGUAUUCCGGGGGGCAUGCCUGUUCGAGCGUCAUUUCACCACUCAAGCCUCGCUUGGUGUUGGGCAACGCGGUCCGCCGCGUGCCUCAAAUCGACCGGCUGGGUCUUCUGUCCCCUAAGCGUUGUGGAAACUAUUCGCUAAAGGGUGUUCGGGAGGCUACGCCGUAAAACAACCCCAUUUCUAAGGUUGACCUCGGAUCAGGUAGGGAUACCCGCUGAACUUAAGCAUAUCAAUAAGCGGAGGA
This 331-nucleotide unclassified non-coding RNA is filed under the name soil metagenome. RNAcentral describes it as "partial contains 5.8S ribosomal RNA, internal transcribed spacer 2, and large subunit ribosomal RNA". The stretch from base 1 to 120 matches the Rfam family "5.8S ribosomal RNA", at positions 35 to 154 of the family's 154-position model. The record is from RNAcentral.